Molecule: ribosomal RNA, 387 nt
Filed under: uncultured eukaryote
Lineage: Eukaryota
Description: partial 18S ribosomal RNA
Rfam family: Eukaryotic small subunit ribosomal RNA
Source: RNAcentral
CCCUUAGAUGUCCGGGGCUGCACGCGCGCUACAAUGGUCGGAGCAGAAUGAAAAGAGACGGCUCCGCGAGGCGGGAGCGUCCUUCGGGGCCUCCCGUUCUUAAUGGUUGACCGUUCCCCGGGUCGACGGGCCCGGGAGAUCGGCUGGAAUCUCGAUCGUGAUCGGGACAGAGUCUUGUAAUUGUUACUCUCAAACGAGGAAUUCCUAGUAGGCGCGAGUCAUGACCUCGCGUCGACUGCGUCCCUGCCCUUUGUACACACCGCCCGUCGCUACUACCGAUUGAAUGGUUCGGUGAAGAUCUCGGACUUCGAUAUUUAUUCUUUAUUGAGUUUAUAUUGUGGGAAGUUAUCUAAACCUCAUCAUUUAGAGGAAGGUGAAGUCGUAACA